Molecule: long non-coding RNA, 1078 nt
Filed under: Salmo salar (Atlantic salmon)
Lineage: Eukaryota; Metazoa; Chordata; Actinopteri; Salmoniformes; Salmonidae
Description: lncRNA (ENSSSAG00000087688.1, ENSSSAG00000105514.1)
Source: RNAcentral
GGGUGUAUAAUGGGAAUAACAUCUGGUUUGUUUCUCAGGGUGUAUAAUGGGAAUAACAUCUGGUUUGUUUCUCAGGGUGUAUAAUUGGAAUAACAUCUGGUUUGUUUCUCAGGGUGUAUAAUGGGAAUAUGGCAGUGUGUCUCUGACAGUCACUUAGGGAGAUACUGUAUCUCUCUACACACACACACACACACACACACACACACACACACACACACACACACACACAGAGUGAUGGCAGGCCGUGGGGAAGUUGUUUUGGCCCUCAGCCAGGUCAUUUACUAGAGCGAUUCAAGUUUUACGUUUUAAUGUUAAAAUGCAGUGAAGACAGUGAAAAGCCUUUCCUGCUCUAAACCCAACGAUGCGGUGACCAACGUCAAUACAAAACACAACAGGUAAGAAGCCACUCUGAACGUCAAUACAAAACACAACAGGUAAGAAGCCACUCUGAACGUCAAUACAAAACACAACAGGUAAGAAGCUACUCUGAACGUCAAUACAAAACACAACAGGUAAGAAGCCACUCUGAACGUCAAUACAAAACACAACAGGUAAGAAGCUACUCUGAACGUCAAUACAAAACACAACAGGUAAGAAGCUACUCUGAACGUCAAUACAAAACACAACAGGUAAGAAGCCGCUCUGAACGUCUAAAUGUUGACUCUCCCUCUCUUCUCCUCAUCUCUUCUCUCUCUACUCCUGUCUCCUCUCCCCUGUCUUUUCUCUCCUCUCCUCUCCUUUCCUCUAUCUGAAGGUGACAGUGUGGAACCAGACUCCAAUCACUCUGUUUCGCUCUGUUCCUAUUGAGAGGCGCACACACACCCUGCUUCCCAAACACCCACACCAGACAGACAGACAGACAGACAGACAGACAGACAGACAGACAGACAGACAGACAGACAGACAGACAGACAGACAGACAGACAGACAGACAGACAGACAGACAGACAGACAGACAGACACCCUCGUAUCCAUCAGCAGAAUCAGCUCUGACAGAAACAAACUGCUGAUUUAAAUUUCAGCCUCAAAGUAGUCCAGUGUGUGUGUGUGUGUGUGUGAGAAUGUCCUGUGUGUGUGU